This 497-nucleotide ribosomal RNA is filed under the name uncultured bacterium. Its description in RNAcentral is "partial 16S ribosomal RNA". It matches the Rfam family "Bacterial small subunit ribosomal RNA", at positions 28 to 507 of the family's 1533-position model. The record is from RNAcentral.
GAUGAACGCUGGCGGCGUGCCUAAUACAUGCAAGUCGAGCGAACGGACGAGAAGCUUGCUUCUCUGAUGUUAGCGGCGGACGGGUGAGUAACACGUGGAUAACCUACCUAUAAGACUGGGAUAACUUCGGGAAACCGGAGCUAAUACCGGAUAAUAUUUUGAACCGCAUGGUUCAACAGUGAAAGACGGUCUUGCUGUCACUUAUAGAUGGAUCCGCGCUGCAUUAGCUAGUUGGUAAGGUAACGGCUUACCAAGGCAACGAUGCAUAGUCGACCUGAGAGGGUGAUCGGCCACACUGGAACUGAGACACGGUCCAGACUCCUACGGGAGGCAGCAGUAGGGAAUCUUCCGCAAUGGGCGAAAGCCUGACGGAGCAACGCCGCGUGAGUGAUGAAGGUCUUCGGAUCGUAAAACUCUGUUAUUAGGGAAGAACAUAUGUGUAAGUAACUGUGCACAUCUUGACGGUACCUAAUCAGAAAGCCACGGCUAACUACGUG